Molecule: ribosomal RNA, 301 nt
Filed under: uncultured bacterium
Lineage: Bacteria
Description: partial 16S ribosomal RNA
Rfam family: Bacterial small subunit ribosomal RNA
Source: RNAcentral
CAGCCGCGGUAAUACGAAGGGGGCUAGCGUUGUUCGGAAUUACUGGGCGUAAAGGGCGCGUAGGCGGCCAUUCAAGUUAGAUGUGAAAGCCCUGGGCUCAACCUAGGAAUUGCAUUUGAUACUGUUUGGCUUGAGUUCGGGAGAGGUGAGUGGAAUUCCCAGUGUAGAGGUGAAAUUCGUAGAUAUUGGGAAGAACACCAGUGGCGAAGGCGGCUCACUGGACCGACACUGACGCUGAGGCGCGAAAGCUAGGGGAGCAAACAGGAUUAGAUACCCGAGUAGUCCCUGUCUCUUAUACACA